This 519-nucleotide long non-coding RNA is filed under the name Homo sapiens (human). RNAcentral's name for it is "HSALNT0394735". Lineage: Eukaryota; Metazoa; Chordata; Mammalia; Primates; Hominidae. The record is from RNAcentral.
AUGACAGAAUUUCCUGGGUUUUUAAAGCAUAAAUAGUAUGUCAUUGUGUAUAUAUAUGUUACAUUUUUCUUAUGCAUUCGUCGGUUGAUGGACGCUUAGUUGAUGCCAUAUUUUGAGUGUCUUGAGUAAUACUGCCAUGAACAGCGGGAGUGCAGAUAUCUUUUUGACAUACGAAUUUCAUUUUUUUUUUUUUUGGCUAUGCAUCCAGUAAUAGCAGAAUUGUUGGAUCCUAUGAAAGAGCCAGAGCCAGAUGGCAACAGGAGUGAGAAAGGUAGAAGAUGAAUGAUUGAGGAUGAAAAUUCCCUCAAGAGAUUUUAUUUGACCAACAUCAAUUCAAUGAAAGCUGUGAUUAAGAGGUUUCACACGGAUGGAGCUGGAAGCCAUUAUCCUCAGCAAACUAACACAGGAACAGAAAACCAAAUAGCGCAUCUUCUCACUUACAAGUGGGAGCUGAACAACGAGAACACAUGGACACAGGGAGGGAAAAAGCACACACCGGGGACUCUCAGGGGAGGGCAG